This 468-nucleotide ribosomal RNA is filed under the name uncultured bacterium. RNAcentral's name for it is "partial 16S ribosomal RNA". It matches the Rfam family "Bacterial small subunit ribosomal RNA", at positions 28 to 507 of the family's 1533-position model. The record is from RNAcentral.
GACGAACGCUGGCGGCGUGCUUAACACAUGCAAGUCGAACGGAAAGGCCCUUCUUUUGUUGGUUGCUCGAGUGGCGAAUGGGUGAGUAACACGUGAGUAACCUUCCCUUUACUUUUGGCUAACUUCAGGUAACUGUGGUUCCUACUGGAUAUGCGCUCCUCCUGCAUGGUGUUGGUUGGAUUGUUCCGGCGGUUGGGGAUGGACUCGCGGCUUAUCAGCUUGUUGGUGGGGUAGUGGCUUACCAAGGCUUUGACGGGUAGCCGGCCUGAGAGGGUGACCGGCCAAAUGGGGACUGAGAUACGGCCAAGACUCCUACGGGAGGAAGAAGGGGGGAAUAUUGAAAAAGGGGCGGAGGCCGGAUGCAGAAACGCCGCGUGCGGGAUGACGGCCUUCGGGUUGUAAACCGCUUUAGCAUGUGACGAAGCGGGAGUGACGGUAAUGGGUAAAGAAGCACCGGCUAACUACGUG